UUUUUUUCCUUUAAAAGGGUUUUAAUUUUAUUCUUCAAAAAAGUCCCAAUCUAAUUUUAUUUAUUGGGGCAUGUUUUGAGGAGCCUAAAAGUAUUUUUGUUUUAGUUAAUUUUUUUUUCCUUUUGGUUGUGGUAUUUUUUUCUUUUUCUUUUAAAACUGGCUAUUUAAUUUUGUGCUUCGGGAGAGAGAGCAGCCCAGGUGGCCACUUGGGGCUCUAGCCGGCCCAAGGCCCACCUUCCCCACUAGCCCUAGCGACACGGAGACUCCUCCCGAUCCCAUCUCCUCGUCGUCCUCCCCCAUCACCCUCCUCCUGAUCCC
This 318-nucleotide long non-coding RNA is filed under the name Hordeum vulgare. RNAcentral's name for it is "long non-coding RNA (HVUL_LNC001414)". Lineage: Eukaryota; Viridiplantae; Streptophyta; Magnoliopsida; Poales; Poaceae. The record is from RNAcentral.